This 43526-nucleotide long non-coding RNA is filed under the name Triticum aestivum (bread wheat). RNAcentral's name for it is "long non-coding RNA (TAES_LNC017246)". Lineage: Eukaryota; Viridiplantae; Streptophyta; Magnoliopsida; Poales; Poaceae. The record is from RNAcentral.
AGGCCCACGACAGCUGUAUUUGUGAAAUUCGCUUCAUUAUUUAACCGACUAUUAUUUGUUCGAUCAGUCGAGUAUGAAAUGAAUGCAGAAUUGGAGGAAAUUUCAUGUGGGCGUUGGAAUACUAUAGGAAGACUGCAGGCAAACUUCUGACUUAUUUUAACAUAAUUCUGCACCCGUUUAUAAAAAAAUUAUUGAAUAAAAAGGGAUUAAAUUGUGAGUCUGUGAUAUCGGAGGUGUAAAAUUAUGAAUCCGCACAUGAGGCUUCAUAAUGAUAUUCCAGGACCAUGUGCAAGUGGCACGCCACUAGUAUUUUGACUAGUGUCACACCACUGAGGAUUUGUGAUGAAUAAUAUUGUCUAUAGCAUCAUAAUCUGACAUAAGCUGUUGGCCAAUAUCCGUGUAAAUACUAUCCAAUUUCCAUCCACUCUUCAUUAUAAAAUAAAUGGCAUAUUCCGUUGUAAGGAGAAUUCAAUAUGUGUAAAUAACAACAUCUCAGCAAGAAACAUGAAAUAAAUAGAACAAUAAACAAUCUUAGAUAAUGCGCAUUGUUGUAAACUAAAAAUAAAACAUGGUAAAGAAAUUUCUAAGAUUUAUUCUUCAUGUCGACUGAAGAUCAUGUUGCUCCGGACGAUCCAUAUUCUCCUCUAACUAGACCGCUCAAAUAGCUACUGGUUGCCACCACCUUUGCCCCACGACUAUGAGCAGGUACGCAGACACAGUAAUGGAACCAAAAAUAUAGUGUUCGAUAUUUGUCGCACUUGCUUCUGAGCAGAUGAAAGACAUGUUCAAUGAAGUAUGUGAUGGUUAGCUGCGAGGAUGUCUGCAAGCUGUAAUACGAAUCUCAGCCAUACUAACCAUCGUAUUCAAGCACCACAUCACUGCCUCAUUUCUGUCCGCUCGAGGACCUCCCCAUGCGCUGCCUCUAGACGGUUUAUGCGACUCGAAAUUGGUGCCUGCAAGAAACGUAUGUCCUUGGGGGGAUCGAUGUUAAUGCCCAUCGGCUCGAUACGUUGCACAAAUCUGGUGCCUACGAGAAGAGUACAGGUGGAGUCAAUCAUCGCGGUAGCCCAUUGGGUCUUUGCGCCGUACAAAUUGGUUGCUAUAAAAGCAGGCAUGUGGAUGCACCUAUAAUGAAAAGUAAUCGGAUCCUUGCGCUGCAUAUUUCCAGGACCUUUUUGGAAGGGACUACUCAAUUACUCUAUUGAGUGGUUUCCAUUAAUUAUGAGCUUUGAGUGCAUCAUGCAGCUACAUUUGCAUGGAUGUACAGAUGCUAGGCCAGAUGCUACAGGACAGCGAGAGCCAGGCAAGUAGGUGCCAGAUGUCUUGUGUUGAGCUCUUCCUUCUCUUAUGUUGCCUCUUAUUCUUGGGUGGUCUCUUCCAAUGCAUGGCUGAUAUUUUUGGCAUAUUAGUAACUUUUAAGUGAAAAAAGCACAUGGGCUGUUUUUUGUCCUAAAGAAAGAAAUAACUAAAAGAAAAAUAAAAUAAAAAAUCAACCGGCAUUUACUAUCCGCAGUUGGUCGCAUACUACAUAAAUAUGAUCAAACAUAUUUUAUCUAUGUCACAGUUUUUUGACACGUUGUAUGCAAGAAAUAUGUUUAGUUUGGCAUGUUCAGAUAGCGUAUAUCUUGGUGCAUUACACACAUUUAGCUAGAUGUCUAUUUCAGCCAACUCACAAAUAUCUGAAAUUCGAUGAGAGCCCGAUGCGGCGGCGGGAUAGCGGGAACACUAUUCGGGAGCGGCGGAAAUUGGAACCCUAUAAAAGUAACCCCACAUGAAUACAAACUUAACAAAAAAUUAAUGCAUAACGUAACAAAAUCGCUUGCAACCCUCACAUAAGAAAAUUAUUGACCUACUAAUCUACAAUCAAUAACACAAAAGUAAGAAUAAAAACGUGUGAAACACGGGACCAUUACACUAGGAAUUUUGUCAUGUACAGUCCGAAGAACCGAACCAUGCUGGUUGAGAAAAUAGCUCAGCCUCUAUGGGAUGGAGCAAUACUUCGGCCACAUCUCUGGAUCCACUGAUGGUAGAACCAGAUGACCAAGCCAAGGAAACCCACUUCCCUAAAACUAAGUGGCCAUGUCACUCCCAUACAUGACCUUCAGCUCCCCUGCCUUUCCCUCCACGAUUUCUCAAAACUGCUUCUUGACUUGAACAUGGCUAGGAGGCCUUUGCCCGAACCACAUCCUUCUCACCUUCUUAUCAAAUACUGGAAAGUAUCAAGGAGAUUGGUCAUCGUCCUCUCCACAAACCCAAAACAAUCCCUGUAAAACUUCAUGCAGCCCGAGUACUACCACUUCCCUGGAGGCACACUCUCGAUCAAAGGUGAUAAGCAAUACAUUUGCUACCCUUUAUUGCAGCGAAUACAUCACAGCAUGGCGUCCCCAUGCAACCGACUAUCACACUUCUCACAGACCUGAUCGACUUUGAUAACCUUUACAUCAAGCUUUCUCCUUUUCAGCUACCGAGCUCUAGCAGAUUUUGCAUUCUUCCUAGUGUUGCCAUAGUUGUUAGCAUGGUGCUCACUAGAAGCAAUUCUGUCGCCUUUUUGAUUUCUCCUCUUCUAACUGCUUCUAACAUCGGAAGCCUUCACAUCAUCCGUCCCUUUGACAGAACCAGGAUGGUACCUCCCUUCACCCUCCGAAAUAGAGACCAAGGGAAGAUCGUCUGGAUCGACCUCUAUGUGGUUCUUCCACUUCUUCCUGUUGCCCCGCGACCUCGAUCUAUUGUUGGUGAACUCGUUGUAGUCGUAGAGGUGCUCAUAGUAGAGCUGCGCGAGCACAUGCUUCGAGCACUCGGGCACAUAUCGAGGCUGCACCUUGUCGCUGAUGAGAUGGAAGAGGUCAUCCCACCGCUUGCUCUCACAAGCGCCGUCAUAGACGCCGAAGCGUUUAACAGUGUGGUACAGGUGACAGAGGUCGGCCGAUCAUCUGCCGGAGAUAGCCCUCGGCUUGGGGGAACGGGAUGCUCCCCCAGCGCCCUACCACGGCGGCCCUGGCCUUGAGGCUGUUGGUGUAGUCGAGGAGGAAGGUGUCGCGGUCGGCGGGAACAACGCGCGCGUGAAAGCGGUGGAUGGGUUGGCGCUUGCUGGGGAAGGAGAGGGUUGUGAUGUCAAGUGUCCUGGGAGGCGACCAGGAUGACAGCGACAUGAUGAGUCAGAUGAUGUAGGGCUCGUAAACAUCUCAUCCAUUGAGCGGAACUCGGGGGCCUCCGAGACAGAGGCAUGUCCCUCGGGGUCGAAGGUGCAGCCGUAGGGGCAAUAUAUAGCCAGGAUGGGGUAUCCCUUCCCCUUCGAUGGUGAGGAGCUAGCUAGGGUCUCAGCGAGCAAUGGGUUGGGCCUUCUUGUGUCUCUUCAAGGCCCUACCAGUAAAGUUGGAAAGGAAGAACUAUAGUUGGCCAAACGGGCCAUUUUUUGGGCUGGCCCAAUCACCACACGUUCCCGGCCUCCCACAUGGCUAAACAGGCCAUGCGACGGCAUGUGUCAUGCUCAUACCACGAGAUGGAGCCUUCAUUCAUGAUUCAUGUGGUAUAUACACUUUUCAGUCAAUGAUGAUUUUAGUUUCUUUCAUUGGUCUUACCACCCAUUUUGUACUUAUCAUGACUUGCCACAUCCAAUUAAGACCUUCCCAAAAGAGAAAAAAUUCUAGGACAAACUGUUCAAUAGGUACAUGCACGAGCAAAAAAAUCUAGUAGAGAUUGAGUGUCUCUUGAAGGGGAAGCACAAGAAUAUUGUACGAUUUCUUGGAUAUUAUUCUGACACGAAAGGAAAUAUGAGAAGCUACGGAAAUGUGUUAUGGCACAUGAACAACAAAGAUUGCUCUGCUUUGAAUAUCUGCCGGAAGAACGUUAGGAUUGUCAUAUAACAGCUAGGUUAAUGUUUCCACAUAGAUUUUCUUCACAGGAUAGUGCUUCAAAGUAAUAGGUAUUCUUGGCGACCAAAUACAAAAGCUCUUCAUGGGACAAAAUAGGAGCCCUACAGUACAUAAAAUACAGUCCAGCUCCAAUUCCACCAUGAGGCAGCCAAUCAGCAGGAACAAAAAUAACAGGCUCUGCACAAUUUAAAUAUGAAUUGACUGAUACUUCUCAAAUCUUAAAUAACAUCAUACCCAAAAGAAAAAUCGCUAUGGAGUAAUCACAAAGUUCCCAGGCUCCUUUUGAAAGAUAGCAACAAACAAUUGAUCUACAUGAUGUGCCAUGUCAGCCCAAAACUACGGACUAGCUAGUUCUCCAAGGAUCGACCAGGUAGGGGGGAAACGUCCUAAACUAUAGCCAGCGCAAGCUAGCUAUACUAGGAGAGGAGGACACGAACUCAAAUCUUCACACACACAGACGCACGAGUAAGAGUGGAGCUCACUUCUACUGCCUUGUACUGAAGCUGAAAAUGGCUUGACUAGAUUUACAUAUGAGGGACUUGGGGUCCUUCUAAAGGACUUGGGAAUGGCACUUGUGGGACAAGCACCAGUUAAGUGCACAGCACCUUCCUAUCUACACUAGGAAACUACCACAUAUUUGCAUCUACUGCUCUAGUCUAUUUCUAGUCAAGUUUCUUGCAACUACUAGGAAAUUACUACGAAACUACUUGGUCCUUGCAUGCCAAGGAAGCUAUUUUCGUUAGUGCUGCAUGCAUGCAACCGAAGACACGGUUGACUCAACAAUCUCCCCCUCAACCUAGUCGAAGAUACUUGAUGUCCAUGAGCCCAACUUUUUCACGCAGUUCCUGGAACAGAACUCAACCAAGUUACUUGGUUCGGAUGUCCGCCUUCUGCUCACCAGCCCUGACGAACUCCAAGCUCAUCGUGCCUUUCUCGACGCGGUAAUGUAUGAAGUGAUAGAGGACAUAGAUGUGUUUGUUGCUAUCUUUCACAAGUAUGCACAACUCAUGACACAUGUGGUACAUAUACACAUGUUGUUCAUCUGCCAUGAUCUUCACACGAUAUUGCAUCAAAGUAAUAGCCAUAUAACAGCUAGGUUUAUGUUUCCACAUAUAUUUUCUUCAGAGGAUAUUGCUCAUCCCCUAAGGUGAGGUGUUCAUUCAUGAUCCAUGUGGUUUAUCCAUAUUUCAGUCAAAGAUGAUAUGUAUUUCUUUCAUUGGUGUUACCACCCAUUAUUUACUUAUCAUGACUUGCCACAUCCAACUAAGACCUUCCCAAAAGUGUCUCAUGAAGGCGAAGCACAAGAACACUGUACGAUUUCUUGGAUAUUAUUCUGACACAAAAGGAAAUAUGAGAAGCUACGGAAAUGUUUUAUGGCAGAUGAACAACAAAGAAUGCUCUGCUUUGAAUAUCUACCUAAAGGAAGUCGGGAUGUUCAUAUAACAGCUAGGUUUAUGUUUCCACAUAUAGUUUCUUCACAGGAUAUUACAUCAAUGUAAUAGGUAUUCUCUAACCUUCGUGACCACAUACAAAAGCUCUUCAUGGUACAAAAUAGGUGCCUUGCAUUACAUAAAAUACAGUUCAGCUCCAAUUCCACCAUGAGGCAGCCAAUCAAACAGCCUCAACACAAUUUAAAUCUGAAUUGACUGAUACUUCCCAAAUCUGAAACAACAUCUUACACAAAAUAAAAAUCACUAUGGAGUAAUCACAAAGUUCCUAGGCUCCUUGUGAAAGAUAGCAACAAACAAUUUAUCUACUAGAUGUAUCACAGGUGUAGAUGUACCACGGGUCUGAGAAACUAUAAUUCACAUAAAAUUCCACGGCUAGCGAAUGUCAUAAAAGUAGUCUGUGACUAAUUAUGUAACUAGAGAUGAUACCCUAUUGUUGCUGCAAAACAAGUCUGUACUAACUUACAUGACACUUUAAACAGGAACACUGUUUGCUCGUAAAACCGACGGAUUUAGCAUUGUGACGAGGUGAAAGAGUAGGUUGAGUUGUGCAUCAAAUUGAUCAGGUAAAGCAUUGUGCACAACCUGUAGGUGUUCAAAAUGUCAAAUACUCAAGUUACAGAUAAAAGGGUCAAAUGUUACCAUACCAGAAUAGGAUUAACUAAACAUAACGUUUUGCGAAGGGCAAUUUUGGUUCAUUUAAAAAAAUACCAAAAAGAAAGUAACUAUGUCUAUACCUUUUGUUAUUUUUUUAACACACAAGCUAAUCAGCAUACAUGUUAUAAAUGCACCACCAUUGUUCCAAGCAACCAGAUAUGCAAGACAAUGAAACUACGGAAUCAUGUAAGGAAAAUUAAAUUAUUCCCCAAGUACAUAGUAAUAACAAAGUAGAAUUGACUCCCUCUGUAAAAAAAUAUAAGAUGUUUUAGUUCACUAUUUUGUGAUUUAAAACUUCUUAUAUUUUUUUACGCAGGGAGUAUAUUUAUAACUAUUAUCAAUUUUACUUCCAUGUUAAAUUGUGGGUGUCUGAAUCAAAUCCUAGAAACCACUCAAUCUUCCGAGUAUCAAAUAUGAAAACAUUUGUGAUUCCGCCUUAGCUCAAAGUACAAUGAUAGUUGCUACAAGUAGUAACAAGAGAAUAACUUCACUUCCCAGCUCCCACUAAAAAAAAUCAAAUGUUUCUGGAGAAGUAAAAGAACAAAAGCCAAUGUGUUCCUACAGUUGCAAUUAAUUUUGCAUGCUACUCAAUAUCACGUACGAAUGAACCUCACAUAUAAAUAUGAAUAUUUGCAUAAAAUACCCGCUCAAAAGCAUUUGCUUCAGCAACAGGUACCCCAUAACAAAAUUUCGGCUCGCCCCUGAAACACAUGUCAGAUAGCCAGUUCAAGAUGAACUACCCUAGGCCCAAAAGUUAACAAAAAAUGAAUGCAGAACAUAACAAAAUUUCUUGCACCCCUCACAUAAACAAAAAGAAAACUAUUCCGUACUAAUCAACAAUCAAUAAGACAAUAGCAAGAAUAAAAAUGUGCGAUACACAAAUUGUGAAAGCAAAGAUAAAAAAGAUAACACGUAUCCAACAUGCUAUUUGGGCAGGAGUUACUUACCAAUGUAAAUAAUUGAUUGAAUAAAUACAUUGUUCCUUAACAUGCCAACAAAAUGACAAGAACAACAUCCUUAGGUAGAGCCACAGGACCACUACACCAGGAAUUUUAUCUUGUACAGUUCAAAGAACUGAACCUGGCAGGUUGGGAAAAUUGUUCAGAUUCCAUGGGUUGGAGCAAUACAUCUGCCACAUCUCUCGAUCCACCGAUGGUCAAACUAGAUCACCAAGGUGAAGAAACCCAGUUUUUUUUUCCUAGCUUGACAAUGUGUUGUAAGGAUCAGACUCUCCAAAUGACUUGUCUAGCAUAGUGGACAACAUCAAAAGCUACACUAGAAACUUCAAAAUAAAUGAGAUUUUUGCAUGGUGCACAUAUAUUGGCUUGGAACAUAAAGCGGUUGCUUCGCCAAGAUGGGUGAAGGUAGUAGUUUGCCCAAAGUUGCCUUAGACUAUGUAGAGUUGUGCCAAACCUAGAUCAAGGACCAUGCGGACAAAGAAUGGAUAGUGAAUCCUACAGUACUUAAGUCAUGAGAUUAGUGUUGGCUAGACUGAGAGAGAGAGCUAGAGAGAGAGAGAGAGAGAGAUGUUGAUGGGGAUGACGGGUAAGGUUAGAAAACCCCAAUUGGUAGGUGGACCUAUCCAAAUAAGGUAGGUGUUUUGGGGUUGUGCUGGGCUAUGCUAGGGAGGUCUAGAUGGGCUAGUUAUGGGGCUGCCUUGUGGCUUUGAAGAGAGGGAAAAGGCCCACGUCAGCUGUAUUUGUUAAAUUCGCUUCAUUAUUUAGCCGACUAUUAUUUGUUCGAUCAGUCGAGUAAGAAAUGAAUGCAGAAUUGGAGGAAAUUUUGUGUGGGGCAUUGGAAUACUAUAGCAAGACUGCACGCAAACUUCUGACUUAUUUGGACUUUGGACAUCAUUUGGCACCCAUUUAUAAAAAGAAUUUUUUUAUCAAACAAAAAGGGAUUAAAUUGUGAGUUUGUGAUAUUGGAGGUGUAGAAUUAUGAAUCCGCACUUGGGGCUUCAUAGUGAUAUACCGACCAUGUGCAAGUGGCAUGCCACUAGUAUUUUGACUAGUGUCACACCACUGAGGAUCGGUGAUGAAUAAUAUUGUCUAUAUAUAGCAUCAUAAUCUGACAUAAGCUGUUGGCCAAUCUUCGGGUAAAAACUAUCCAACUUUCAUUCAUUGUUCAUUACAAAAUAAAUGGCAUAUUCCAUUGUAAGGAGAAUUAAAGAUGUGUAAAUAACAACAUCUCAGCAAGAAACAUGAAAUAAAUAGAACAAUAAAAAAUCUUAGAUAUUAAUAUAAUAAUAAAUUGUAGUAAAACAUGAUAUUGUUCUAGUGCGCAUUGUUGUAAACAAAAAAUCAAACAUGUUAAAGACAUUUCCAAGAUUUAUUCUUCAUGCCGACAGAAGAUCAUGUUGCUCACAACAAUCCAUAUUCUCCUCUAACUAGACCGCUCAAAUAGCUACUGGUUGCCACCACCUUUGCCCCACGACUACGAGCAGGUACGCAGACACAGUAAUGGAACCAAAAAUAUAGUGUUCAAUAUUUGUCGCACUUGCUUCUGAGCAGAUGAAAGACAUGUUCAAUGAAGUAUGUGAUGGUUAGCUGCGAGGAUGUCUCUGCAAGCUGUAAUACGAAUCUCAGCCAUACUAACCAUCGUAUUCAAGAAUCACAUCACUGCCUCAUUUGUGUCUGCUCGAGGACCGCCCCAUGCGGUACCUCUAGACGGUUUAUGCGACUCGAAACUGGCGCCUCCAAGAAGCGUAUGCCCAUGGGGGCGACCGAUGUCAAUGACCAUCGGCUCGAUACAUUGCACAGUUCGGUGCCUACAAGAAGAGUACGGGUGGAGUCAAUCAGCGUGGUAGCCCAUUGGGUCUUAGCGCCAUACAAAUUGGAUGCUAUAAAAGCACGCAUGUGGAUGCACCUAUAAUGAAAAAUAAUCGGAUCCUUGCGCUGCAUAUUUCCAGGACCUUUUUGGCAAGGACUACUCAAUAACUCUAUUGAAUGGUUGCCAUUAAUGAUGAGCUUUGGGUGCAUCAUGCAGCUACAUUUGCAUGGAUAUACGGAUGCUAGGCCAGCUAGCUACAGGACACCGAGAGCCAGGCAAGUAGGUUCCAGAUGUCAUGUGUUGAGAUCUUCCUUGUCUUGUGUUGCCUCUUCUUCUUGGAUGGUCUCUUCCAAUGCAUGGCUGAUCUUCUUGGCAUAGUAGUAACUGUUAAGUGAAAAAAGUACAUGAGCGAUUUUUUGUCCUAAAGAAAGAAACAACUAAUAAAAAAACUCAUCCAACAUUUAUUAUCCGUCGUUGGUCACAUACUAGAUAAAUAUGAUCAAAUAUAUUAUAUCUACAUCACUGUUUUGUAUCUUUGACACGUAGUAUGCAAGAAAUAUGUUUACUUUGGCAUGUUGAGAUAGAAUCUAUCUUCAUGCAUUACACACAUUUAGCUAGAUGUCUAGUUCAUCCAACUCACAAACAUCUCAAAUUCGCCUAGAUGGCACGCCAUUAGCGUCGUCUCUGGAAGGAAAUCAAGCUUCUGCAGCCAUGCGUUCGCCGAUGCCGACAUAAGAAUCGUGGAAGCCCCAUUUUCAGACAUUUUUAUUUUGCUAAUUAGGGGUUCAUGGGGUGUGAUGAGACAUAAACAACUCAGAGCAUGUUGGGAUCCGUCACUUUAUAAGAUGUUCUAAAUCAUAUGUAUAUCGCACUUGCAUCUGGGAAAAAUAGAGACAUGAUGAAUGAAGUAUGCAGUGGUUACUUGCGAGGAAAACUGCUUGAAGUAGUAAUGAUCUUUUUAUUUAUAUAGGGUGAUCAAGUCGUAGGAUGAACUUUGUGUUUAGGGUUAAACUGUUGCAAUGUUUUGAUGUUUGAAUGUUAAAAUGAUCAAUGUAAUGUCCUUUACAAAACAUUGUUCGCAUGUUUGAAAGUGCCCUAUUUUAGGGAACCCAUUGGAGUUGGAUGUUUUUUGUGCCCCAAGAAGCACUUUUAAGUGCUGCAAAUUUGCCUCCAAGAACAUUUUUACUGGAGAUGCUCCUACUCUCUAUUGCACGCACAGGCAUAUUAACACACAUUAUGUGGGUCCACUUAUCUAUUUGUUUCUAUUUAUCACACCCCACUCUCUCACUCGCAAAACACAAGUUACACAACGCAACACAGAUACACUCCACUGAUCCACCCACAUACUCUCUCACACACACAUGCACUCCGUGACAUACUUCACAUGAAAAGUGUCAUGCUCUAUCCCUCGCUCCACUUUUCUGUACAAGUAAAUAGUCAAGCCAAAUGAUAGAACAAUCUGGCCACAAAAGAACAUAUCCUAGAUAGCAUGCAACUGAUAAAAAUUUAGUUGAGAAAUAAAAAAUUCAAGGUAAUUGAAAAAUAGGAACACACGUGAAAAUAUAGGUUGAAGAAGAGACAUACCUGAGCAGAUAUUUGCAAAGAUAGGACAUGAACAUGAGGGGUCCGCGAACAUGCAUCUUUCCCUUCUUUGGUUAGCCCCUUGUCAUUCUAUUUGUAGUUCUCUAUCGUCUCUGUCCUCAGGGUCUAAAGUGACCAAAGACCAAAUAUAAGAGCCAAAUUUCUAUAUGAAAACCAAUAUGAGACCUUAUCCACCAUUGGUGCCCAGAUGGGCAUGGUUAGGUCCGAGUCGGCAUCAACAAUGAGCUUUAGUUGCAUAAGCACUGCAGUCUCAAUAUCAAUGCCCUCACAUUGCCCUUCACAGACACCAAGCUCAAGCUCCUACAACAACGUUUAGCAGACAAUAACCUCUUGUGCGGAACUAUCUGCGUUCACAUUGAGCACAUGGGCAGCGGUCGACCAUGGUAGCAAGAUGGAGAAUGGUGCAGCGACAGCGUUGGAGGGACAACCUCUCAAGGGAUAAGAAUACACCUUGCGACACCUGUGUGACGUAGGCGGAGCACAACCAUAUCUUAGUAGACGUGGUGCGGGGAAAGCAUGGUAGCCCAACUAUAAAAUAUUCAUUGAAGUUGUUGAGAGGGAUGAGCUUUUGUGGAGAGACCCUUGGUGCGACACGAAGAAGGGACACAAGUUGCGCUCCUUAGGCAAUGUGCCCCCCAUUACAAAUGUCGAGUUCGAUGCCUAGGAGGGACAGUAUGAGUCCAAGCGUCAUGGCUGCUUCUAGUGCGGUGAGCGCCUCUUCAAGCAUGGCAGACCCGACCCCAUGGAAGGUGACCCUGAGCACACGCAACCUUAGGCAGUUCUUGAGAAAGGUGCCUACGUUGACAAUGUUUUUGGAAAGAGACAGCCUCUCGACCACUGGGAUGAGCUAGCUAUCCGGCGGCUAGAUGCGAAGGUAAUACGUGUCUAGCUCAAUGGAGGUGGCGCGGUGGAAGGAAGGAAUGGAGAAUCAGACGCGUCCUGGCGGGAGGAUGAAGAGAAGCUCCUUCAGCAAGAGCCAAAUGGCAUAGUGCAACCACUUCUUGGCAUUAACGUCAUCCAACUUUGCCGCUUUCGGUGGGCCAGUCCUGACGAGACAGAUGUCGAGGACUAUGAUGGGCUCGUAUGCAUCGCCAGCGACGUGGGCAAGCGCCUCUUCUAUCGCACUUGUUGGGACGUCGCAGAAGGUGAGACCGGGGAGGCUGAUCCAGAGAUCGUGCCACUAGCGUACGAGGUUGUCGGUGCAUGCAGUGACACAGGUGGAGCCCAGACACACGAGGACCUAGAGGAGCAUGUUAUCCGGGAGUGCGCUGAUGAGUUCAUAUCUGCCCGUACCACCCUGUGCUGACGGUGUUGGUUCUAGCAGCGAUGAGAGCCACAUGCGGUGGCGGGAUGACGGGAACUCUAUUCGGGAGCGGCGGAAAUCGGAAUCCUACAAAGGUAACCCCACGUGAAUUCAAACUUAACAAAAUAUUAAUGCAUAACGUAACAAAAUCGCUUGCAACCCUCACAUAAAAAAAUUAUUGACCUACUAAUCAACAAUCAAUAACACAAAAAUAUGAAUAAAAAUGUGUGACACACAAACUGUGAUAGAAAAGAGAAGAAAAGGUAACACAUAUCCAACAUGCUAUUCAUGUUGGAUUAGCUUACCAAUGUACAUAAUUGAUUGAAUAAAUACAAUGUUCCUCAAUAUGCCAGCAAAAUGACGAGAACAACAUCUGUAGGUAUAGCCACGGGAACAUUACACUAGGAAUUUUGUCAUGUACAGUCCGAAGAACCGAACCAGGCAGGUUGAGAAAAUAGCUCAGAUUCCAUGGGAUGGAGCAAUACUUCUACCACAUAUCUGGAUCCACUUAUGGUAGAACCAGAUGACCAAGGCGAGGAAACCCACUUCCAUAAAACUAAGUGGCCAUGUCACUCCCAUACAUGACCUUCUGCUCCCCUGCCUUUCCCUCCACAAACCCAAAACAUCACUGUAAAACUUCAUGCAGCCCGAGCGGUACCACUUCCCUUGAGGCACACUCUCGAUUAGGGGUGAUAAGCAAUAUGUUUGCUACCCUUUAUUGCAGCGAAUGCAUCGCAGCAUGGCGUCCCCAUGCAACCGACUAUCACACUUCUCACAGACCUGAUCGACUUUGCUAUCCUCUACAUCAAGCUUUCUCCUUUUCAGCUACCGAGCUCUAGCAGAUGUUGCAUUCUUCCCGGUGUUGCCAUCGUUGUUAGCAUGGCGCUCACUAGAAGUUAUUUUGUCGCCUUUUUUAUUUCUCCUCUUCCAGCUGCUUCUAAUGCCAGAAGCCUCCACAUCAUCCAUCUCUUUGACAGAACCAGGAUGGUACCUCCCUUCACCAUGCGAAAUAGAGAUCGAGGAAUGAUUGUCUGGAUCGACCCCUGUGUGGUUCUUCCACAUCUUCAUGUUGCCCCGCGACCUCGAUCUAUUGUUGGUGAAAUGGUCAUAGUCGUAGAGGUGCUCAUAGUAGAGCUGCGCGAGCACCUACUUGGCGCACUCGGGCACAUACCGGGGUUGCGCCUUGUCGCUGUUGAGAUGGAAGUGGCCAUCCCACCGCUUGCUCUCACAGGCGCCAUCAUAGACACUGAAGCGUUUAACAGUGAGUUACAGGCGGCAGAGGUCAGCCGAGCAUCCGUCGGAGACAGGCCUCGGCUUGGGGGGACGGGACUCUCCCCCAGCGCCCUGCCACGGAAGCACUGCCCACUAGGAAGCUAGUGUAGUCGAGGAGGAAGGUCUCGCGGCCGGCAGGAACAACGCGCGCGUGAAAGCGGUGGAUGGGUUGCCGCUUGAUGGGGAAGGUGAGGGUUGUGAUGUCAAGCGUCCUGGGAGACAACCAGGACGACAGCGGCAUGAUGAGUCAGACGCCGUAGGUCUCGUAAACAUCUCAUCCAUUGAGCCGAACUCGGGGGCCUUCGAGACAGAGGCAUGUCCCUCGGGGGCGAAGGUGCAGCCGGACGGGCAAUAUAUGUUAACAGGAAGGGGGUAUCCCUUCCCCAUCGAUUGUGAGGUGCUAGCUAGGGUUUCAGGGAGCAAUCGGUAGGGCCUUCUUUUGUUUCUUCAUGGGCCUACCAGUAAUGUUGGAAAGGAAGAACUAUAGUUGGCCAAACAGACCAUUUUUUUGGGCUGGCCCAAUUACCACACGUUCCCGGCCUCCCACCUAGCUAAACGGGCCAUGUUACGGCGUGUGUCAUGCUCAUACCAUGAGAUGCAGCCUUCAUUCAUGAUUCAUGUGGUAUAUACACUUUUCGGACAAUGAUGAUUUUAGUUUCUUUCAUUGGUCUUAUCACCCAUUAUUUACUUAUCAUGACUUGCCUCAUCCAAUUAAUACCUUCCCAAAAGAGAAACAAUUCUAAGACAAACUGGUUAAUAGGUACAUGCACGAGAAAAAAUAUUCUAGUAGAGAUUGAGUGUCUCUUGAAGGCGAAGCACAAGAAUAUUGUAUGAUUUCUUGGAUAUUAUUCUGACACGAAAGGAAAUACGAGAAGCUACGGAAAUGUGUUAUGGCAGAUGAACAACAAAGAUUGCUCUGCUUUGAAUAUCUGCCGGAAGGAUGUUAGGAUGGUCAUAUAAAAGCUAGGUUUAUGUUUCCACAUAUAUUUUCUUCACAGGAUAGUGCUUCAAAGUAAUAGGUAUUCUCUAACCUUAGCAACCACAUACAAAAGAUUUCAUGGGACAAAAUAGGUUCCCUAGAGUACAUAAAAUACAGUACAGGUCCAAUUCCACCAUGAGGCAGCAAAUCAGCAGGAACAAAAUUAACAGCCUCUGCACAAUUUAAAUAUGAAUUGACUGACACUUCUCAAAUCUUAAAUAACAUCAUACCCAAAAGAAAAAUCGCUAUGGAGUAAUCACAAAGUUCCCAGGCUCCUUUUGAAAGAUAACAACAAACAAUUUAUCUACAUGAAGUACCAUGUUAGCCCAAAACUACGGAAUAGCUAGUUCUCCAUCGAUCGACCAGGCAGGGGGNNNNNNNNNNNNNNNNNNNNNNNNNNNNNNNNNNNNNNNNNNNNNNNNNNNNNNNNNNNNNNNNNNNNNNNNNNNNNNNNNNNNNNNNNNNNNNNNNNNNGCACGGUUAUUAGCUGGGCCGUGCCCAUCGUCUCUUUCAUUGUUAGGGUUUCUCGUGCUGCCACCGUUGUCGUCGUCUCAAAAUUUUAGCACAUAUGGCCUCCGUCUGCCAUCUUGGCGCUAAGAGGUGUGUGCUGUUGGGGGAGGGGGGGCUCGUAUCUUCAAGACAUUUGUGUCCCACGUCACCGUCUAGUGAUCAUUAUAGUUUUGUGAGAAUAAAUUUUCUUUCAUUUUUUGAUAGUGUCAUGAGAUUAGAGAGUAUUAUGUGCUCGCAGAUGACUAUACAGAUCUGAUGAGUUUAUGUUGAUGUGUCAAGCCUUUUUUGUUGGUCUGAUUCUUUGCGAAGGUGAAAUCUUUCAUUGACAUCAUGGUGAAGAUAUAGUGAUUCGACAACCUACACUUAUAGGGGAUCAUCCCUGGCCCAAGUACGUUCCUCGUUCAAGGCUUCUUAUCUUUUUGGAUGGGCAACGCAAGGCGUUUCCAAAAACCAUUUUUUUUGGUAAUGUUCGCGCGGGUGAAGGAAUAACAACAUCGUUGCUCCGGUCCAAUUGCAGCCUCUUUACCGAAGUCUUUGGAGUAUUUCUUCGAGCAGAGACUAACGCCGUGAAGAAGGUGUUUUCAAGGGAAUUCAUUGCAAUUCUUAAUAAUCAUAUAAGUUACUUUGUAUUUUCUUGGAUGUUGGGUCUAACUCAGUGUAUCUGUGAUUAUUAUGAGUACGAAUAAAGUUACAGGUGUUUUUAAAAAAAAUAGUCAGGUCGUGUCGUGUCGUGCCGUGCCGGCCCCCGUGCUGCCCCCUCCAGCCCAGGCACAACCCAGGAUCUAUGCGGGCCGUGCCGGGCCGGCCCGCGUGCUGCCCAGAAGCUAUGCGGGCCGACCCAACGGCACGCCAGGCCCGUUAGGCCGCUUGUCUGCUACGUUGUUUUGGGGCCAAAUUUGGCCUAUUGGGCUAUUUUUAGGCCAUAUAUAUUUAAAAACUCCUAAAUAAGAAUAAAAUAAAUAAACGGAUCGUGCCAUCCUGGCCCACGCGCUCAAUCUUCAGGCCCACUCACAAAUCCUUGCGUGUUGGGCCCGACCCGUUUAGCGCCUAUCAUGUCGGCGUCCUGUCAAGUCGACCCAACUAUCCUGACCCGUUUGGUCAGCUUUGUGCCCACCUCCCUACAAAUGGGCCAACCAUCAGCCCAUGGUAACCAUCACAUGGGACAAGGGUGUGGCCUUUAAGACAUGCCUAGGACCCGCGCAGCCUUUUGCGUCGACCCCUUUUGUUGCCAUCUACCACAUGAGCGCAGGAAAAACUUGCCCCUUCCCAACGUCUCUUGAUCCCAUUCGCGCGCGGCUGCUAUUGAGGAUCCCCCCAUGUCUCUUGCUCCCAUUCACGCGUGGCCGCCUCACCCGCGGAUCCCGUUGUCUCCUAAAUGAAAGAUUCAAACAACAAAAAUGAAAGUUCAACAUAUGACGGGAAUACACAAUACGGACCACAUAUUAACAGUCAGCUGUCAGAUAAAAAGAUAUGACGGGAAUCCAUAAGUCGGACCGUCCCAAAGACGAGAUACUAAUAGCAUGCCACGUGGAUGGGCAACGCUUCCCAGGGAUCCCGGAUGUGAAUGGUGUUGCCAGGCAUUCCCUCUUCGCGGAUCUAGAAGGGUUUUUCCACGCAGGUGCCUGGCAACACCACUGGCUCACGCCAUUUCACAUCCGGGAUCUUAUCGCCACGAAUAACAGCCGCGCGGUACUCAAAACACUUGUCAGAUCCCAACCCCAUCCAUGCGCCUCGCUCAUACACCACAUGGGUACCUCAUUACACUAACUCUAUUAUCACCACCAUGGGCAGUCUUGAUCCAGUCUCACUCAUACUUCGUGGUACCCUCAAGCAUGGUUUGGGCCUGCAAAACCAUGGCCCCUGUUGUCGUCAUACCAAGAAGCGAACAUCACAUUCGUGGCCUGUUGUAGUGAAAUAAUUUAAAAAAUUCUGGAUUUUUUGCUACAAACUUUGACAGAUGUUCUCAGUGCUUGCAAAUUUUCAUCCAGACAUCACAUUCGUGGAAGUCGUGGUAAAAAAGGAGAUGCACCCAAAAUGCUAUUCUUGAAAGCAUUUUGAAGUGUUGAUUUUGUUUUUUCUUCCACGACUUCCACGAAUGUGAUUUCAGGAAGAAAAUUUUCAAGCACCGUGAACAUUGGUCAAAGUUUGCACCAAUAAAAAUUUAGAGUUUUUUGAAUUUUAUUUCAUUUAAUAGAAUUUACAAUCCACCGCGAGCUCAAAUGAUUGAGCUCGGGAAUUGAAGGGGACUUUUGAGGCGUCCGCUUCAAAUAGUCAAGCACCAUGCGAGUCAUUAGACCAUGCGAUGCCUCUAUUUCCUUUUGACCUCCUCCAUUGCAGUUCUUUGGUAUUGAGAUGCUCGGCGACACUAAUUGUACACUACGGUGGGUGGUCGGGCCGAAGUGAUAAUAUGACAGCAUAGUAAAAAUAGUUGUUGUCAUCAGCCCAUAAACCUUAAAAUGAAGUAAAAAUGGUUUAUGGGCUGAUGACAGCAACUUUUCUUACUAUGCUACUCUACAUAAAAAACAUAAAUGUCAAUGUGUAUGUACAUUGUAGAUCUUUAGUGUACUCUUAUGUAGCCGUCUCAUUGAACUAAUAAUGAAAACAAUUACAAGCUUAUUUCGGGAAAUCAGGUGAUCCCACGCGGAUCGAUGGUCACGAUUCAAUUUCGAAUUAAAUUAUCUCAAUUUAAUGGUGCAGUCAGGCGAGGUUCGCUCACUUUAUGUAGCAUUGAUGAUGGAGUUUCCGUUCGUGUUAUUUUGGGCCUGAGUGCGCAUUUGUCUGUUAUUCUUAUUCCAGUACUAGUUUAUUCCUCUCCGACGCGCUUUGUUUUUAUAUUAUCAGCAGUGUGAGUUAAACUAUUGUGGUCGAUGCGAGCCAAAAUAAAUAUAAUUAUUUAUACUAAACGUUAAUACUUGUUUAUAAGUCAUUUUUCCAAAUUACAACAACAGAUAAAUAUUAUUGUAAUCUAAACUAUAUUUUGUAAAAAAGUUAAUUUUCAAUACAGUAGUACAUCUUAAAACAUAUUUAAGUCAAUUCCACUUAAUAUGGUUGAAUAAGAAAAAGGAAAAAGAAUCAUGUCUUUGUGGAUUAAUUUGUGAAUGUCAUGUAUUUAUGUCAUAUAUUUAUAGCGGUCUCCAGGAUUAGAGCAAACAGAAAAAUCUAGAAUACAUGAGAUAUUUAUGAGGACUUUGAUACUCUCACUGUAAAGAAAUAUAAGAGCGUUUAGAUUGCUACUUGAGUUAUGUAAACGCUCUUGUAUUUCUUUAUGAAGGGAUUACCUAAUAAUUGACACACUAUUUUUUUCUUCAUAUUUUCUGGUAUUAAUGGUGUGUAUACACUAGUAGAAAAAGGGGCUUUUGUCCCGGUUGGUAAGGCCCUUUAGUCCCGGUUUUUGAACCGGGACUAAAGGGUCGUUACUAAUGCCUCUCCCUUUUAGUCCCGGUUCUUACACGACCCGGGACUAAAGGCCGCGGCCACGUGGAGCUCCACCUUUAGUCCCGGUUGGUGUUACCAGCCGGGACUAAAGGAAAUUUUAUGAUUUUUUUUUAUUUUUUUUUCAAAUUUCUGAAUUAUUUUAACCUCUAAUCUCUAAUCACCACCCCUCAUCACUGCUCAAUUUAUCUUCUAAUCUCUAAUCACCCCUCAUCAUUCCCAAUCAUCUAACUUCCCGAACGGUUACCCAUCCUCCCACUCCCCCAGCCUGAGCACGCUUAUCUUCCGGGUUCUAUUCUCCCUCGUUUCCAAGUCUGCACUUGUUGUUUUCCUGAUAAUAAUAAGAUGUCAAUCCUAUUAACCCUCAGGAAUUUUGCUUGAGCAUGAAGUGACACAUUUCACUGUUUGAGUUUGAAACUAUUGUUUUAAAAAACAGUAAUUAUUUAGUAACACUAAUAUUUCUUGAAUAAUUAGUUUGACCAUUGUUUGACCACAAUUUGACCAGAUUUGACCAAAAUUCAAAAUAGAUGAAAUAAUUAUUUAGUAACAUUAAUAUUCUAGAAUAAUUAGUUUGACCAUUGUUUGACCACAGUUUGGAAUUUUUUCGAUUUUUUCCACUCUAGAUCUUAAAAGCCCCGUAACUUUUUUUCUGUUAGGUUUUUGAUGAUUUUGAAAAUGUUUAACAGGGUUCCCCCCGUUAAUUUUGGAUGUAACUUUUCGAGUAGAUGAUUUUUUAUAUAAAAAACUUUUUCAUCCGAGUUAGUAUGCAAAAGUUAUGCCCAUCUUUACAAAUUCUCGAGAGAUUUUGCAAAUAAAGUCGAAAUUCAUAUUUCCAAAUUUUCCCAACAACUAGACCACAUAUCACAUGGGAAACUUAUUUAGUUUUAUUUUUUUGACAUUUUGAUCAUUUUCUUUUAUUUUUUUUAAAACUGAAAAGGCGAUCCACGCGGAGGAGGGGGGGUAGAGUUUGAAAAUGGGACCUUUAGUACCGGUUCGUGCCAUGAACCGGUACUAAUGCCUCAAACCCCAUUAGUACCGGUUGGUGGCUCGAACCAGGACUAAAGGUCUAACCUUUAGUGCCGGUUGGUGCCACGAACCGGUACUAAUGGGCAUCGCACCCUUUAGUCCCGGUUCGUGGCACCAACCGGGACUAAAAGGUCCAGAUGAACCGGGACAAAUGGCCCACGUGGCCCCUGGGCUCACGAACCGGGACUAAUGCCCCAUUAGUCCCGGUUCUGGACUGAACCGGGACUAAUGGGCUAACCCGGCCUGGACCAAAGCCCCCUUUUCUACUAGUGAUAUCAUGUACCUGAUACUGAAUUAAUAUCACCCUAGUUAAAACAUAAGCAUUAGAAAGAGAAAAUCACAAUUGAAAAAUGAUUAAACAUAGAAAUCAUCAAAAAUUACAUUAUUUUAGCACUUCACAUCCAAAAUACCACAGGCUGUUGAAGGACAGGCACUUUGUAGUAUUGCACCCGGCGGCUCUCACCAGUGGUCAGGUCUCCAUUCAUAUCAUAGCUGAGGGAGAACAUGGUGAGACGAUAAAGACCUAUGUCGGGUCGGGGCUCGUCCUCAUGCUCCUCAUCAGUGUAGACACACUCUACGAGGCAGAAUUUGCUCCGGCAUCCCAUGUAAAGGAGGCUGGCGCUAUAGUUGCUCUCACCCAGGUCCUCGCUGAACAGCUUCUCCUUGCCGAGCUUCGAUACCGGAGGGGUGCGUCGGAGCCGGGCAGGCAGCAGGAGUAGAGGUGGCCGACCGUGUCCGGGUCAUCCUCGCACUCGGUGAUCCUGAGAAAGGCGAAGAGUAGAGAGUCGAAGUGACCGCGACCGUCGAAGGGCAGCGCCCAAUGGCCAAGUUGUUUCCAUGAGAGCUCCUCCGUGUCGAAGGCGAAGAUCGCCGCAGUGGCUUCUUUCUUGAUGCUCACGGUGAAGGACUGUAUGUCGGGGUGCAAGGCAUAGGAGCAGACGUCGUAAACCUCAAACGGCGGAUUUGGGAGUAGUUGCCACGACCACUGCAUGUCGUCACCAGAUCAGUCCAUGGAGAGCACCUCAAAGGAGUUGAGGCAGAUAGUGAACAACUUGUCGUUGCCGACGGCGAGAUAGAUGGGGUUGAUGGGGUAUUCCAGCUAAGGGCCGAAGGAGAUGGCCCGCGAGCGAACGUCCAGGAUCGGGAUGCCGGUCCCGGACUAGGAGAUGUCGUCAGGAGCAAGUUUGGGGGGUCCCUGGCGUGCAUCGACAUGAUCAUGGUGCCAAAGGCCGACGCGAAGCAGUCCGGCGACCCUUCCUCCGAGGACUUUGAGCGAAAAUCAUCAAGUGAGGAAAAACCCAAAACCCAAACCCAAACACCUACAAACCCAAAGUAAUUGAGCAUCACUGAAGAGAUUGUUCAUGUGUGGAACCAAUGCUUGUUACCUUUGAGGACUGUGCAUCCUCCAGACGGUUAGGCGUCAUGGUCUGAGCAUCCAAGAUGAAUUGUGGAUCGCCGAGUGACCAAGUCUGUGAAUGUUUGGAAGUCACCUGAAGACUUACCACGAGUGAUUGGGCGAGGUAUGUGCGACUUUAGUUCAAGGAGAAUACGGUGAGGAAUGUGUGUCCUCGAGUUUAAAUACUCAGCCACACGAACCAGACGUACAACUGUCACAACAGUUGGAACUGGUCUACCAAAUCAUUGCCUUCACCAAGCCAACUGGUUAUAUUUCCUCAACCCUUUCAUUUCCUCAUUCAUGUGUUGAUGAACCUGAUCAUUACUGUUUGAAGACUUUGACUGAAAACUUUCUCUAUUUCCUCAACCCAAAUCCUUCAGCCACAUAGUCUUCAGCCAGCUUAUCCUAUACUAUGUGCUUGUUUUCAUUUCAUCAUGAUGACUAUGUUGUUGCUCUAUUGUGCUUAUACUUGAGUAUUUAUUCCGCUGUUAGUGUGUCGUUGCUUAGGAAUUUCUUCACCUAGAAAUUCCUCAGUGACGAAUUUAUAAAAAUCGCCUAUUCACCCCCCAUCUAGUCGACAUAACGCACUUUCAAUGUUCCCCGCUAGCAUCUCUGCCCUUGCCCCCCACCCGCGUGCGCUCCGGCGAGGGGCUCAAGCACCCCGUCCCCUUGCGCCGCUGCUCGUUGGAACACCACCGUCACAGACCCCCUGACACCCUUCUGCUGAAAGCUCGUCGUCACCGCACGCUACAUCCGUAGCUCGCAAACCAGGCCAUUGCAGCUCUGGCACGGUUGGUUCCAGCGCGCGUACACCAUGGUUGGAGCACCACCGACGUUGCCGCUGUCGUCGACUUGCACAAUCGUGCCCAGCACAAAACUCCAAAAGCAACAAAUUCUCCAUUUGUGGGUUGAAGCAAAAAAUUACCUAGUUCCAACAAAAUGGAACACCUGUUCUAGCAAAAGCAACUCAUCAGCAACAACUCCCAUUGAUUGAUUGUAGCAAAAAAAUACCCGGUUCCAGCAAAACGACUCAUGAGGAAGAACUCCCGGUGAUUGAUUGUAGAAAAACAGAGAGCCCAUCCCAGCACCCCGCGACGCCGUUUCCAGCAAAGCAGAGAGCUAGUUCCAGCAAAGUUUCUGCCGGUUGUAGCAAAAAUCAAACAUUCGAUCAGCAAAAAUGGCUUACAGUCCCUGGUUCCAGCAUUUGUUAAUGUGGAUGUAGCUAUUCACUGGACAGUUCCAAUACAAAACUCACCGAUUGAAGCACCGGGAGGCCGUCAUCUCCAUUGCUAGGACCUACUGGUUGCAGCAUGGGUAGAUGCUGGCUGCUGUUGAUGCAUGCAGCACAGCGUGGCAAUCCCAGCAAAAACCAACACCCCCUGGUUGUAGCAUACGUGGUUGUCUCUUACCUGAACAGUGCUGCUGGCCAUCUCCGCAGCGCGGCGCCGUGAUAUAUACGGCUAACCUGUGGAGAGGAACCAAGACAAAAGAGCGGAUGAGCGGCAGUGCAUUGGGGAUAGCGCGCGGAGUUGGUGGCGGCCAUCGCUUGUGCGACCUAAUCAGACGUGAAUGGAAUAGAGGAAGAGGGAAUGAAUCGCCCAGCGAAUUGAUAAGGAAGGAGGGGGAGAAAAAAAUAGAAAAAAGAUAGGAUGGCAACGUGGCACAAUGAAAAGGCCUCGUUUCAACAAGGAUUGAACGACUCGUGCGCGACCAGCCCAAGUUUCGUCCGGUGUGCCGGGUGCAAACGUUUUCCUAACUAUUAUAGGUACACUAAUCUAAGAUCCAAGAAAAUACAAAGUAAAGCUUAUGACUAAGAAUCACGAUGCUUUUUUUCUGAAACAUCUUCAUCGUGCUAUAAAUAUCUACUAGAAGAAAUACUCGCAAGAUUUCAGCAAAGAGUCUUCAAUUGGACUGGAGCAACGAUAUUGUCACUUUUUUCACCCGCACGAAUAUUACCAAUAAAGGUUUUUGAAAGAGCCUUGAGUUUCCCAUCCACAAAAACUGAAAGGUCUUGAUUGAUCGACGUACUUGGGUCAGUGAUGAUACCCUGAAAGUGUAGGUUGUCAAAUCACAAUAUCUUCACCAUAGUGUCGACCACAUAUCCACAAAGAAUCAAAAUCAAAGAAAAAAGCUUGACACAGUAACAUAAAGUCAUCAAAUCUGUUAGAAUAAAACGAGACUGAAAGUGAAUGGACGAUUAGUCCUGAUUUCUAAUGAUUUUCAAGUAUAUAUACAUCUGCGGUUAAUGCACAUUAAAGCAUCGAUAAACAUGAUUUUUUGAGAAAAGAUGAGCAUGCUAAUUGCAACUUAUGAAAUUGGUUCCACCGCUCACCACCAGCCUAGGUUGGAGAGAUUUUUGAGUUGGGAAACUUAAUUAAACCAAAAGGGAAGAAGUGCUAGUUAAAAAUAUUAUUAAUGGAAUCAAACAUAGUAAUAAACCGUCGCCGCCGGGAGACAAAAGAACGUAGUACUUGCAGUAAGAACCCCACCUUGCCGCAGAUGUCAUCUUGGCGUGAGGAGGUGGGGGGACCUUGGUUCAUCUAGAAGUUGGGAACAAAUUGAUCUUUUUUUUGCACGGGGAAAGGCGCCCUCAACGCCAAUUUCAUUCAACUCAAAAACAGUGUAGAACAUGGAGUACAAAACCCUGUAAAUUUAAGGUAGAAAGAGUAGAAAUGACAGGGCAUAUUCUGUUCCUGUGAGCUGACUCAAAGCAACUAUAGACAGGUUCCAAAGAGCGACUAAGAACCUGAUGAGCUACAUUGUGCGCAAUCCCAUUUAUUUCUCUAGAUAUAUGGAACACCUGCGACUGUAGAUGUUGGGUAGUCCUGUAGAAAUCAGCAAGAGAUUCUCUAAUCACCCAAGGAGUGGAAUCUGCUGUUACAUUCCUGUUCGCCGCCGCCUUGGCAAGAGAAAGAUUAUCGGUGAGAAACGUCGGUUGCUCGACUUGUAAGAUCUGUGCUGCUUUGGCGGCAAGAAGAAGAGCUUAUGCUUCUGCUUGUAGAGGUGACGAAGUUAGUGGUGCGGAUGCUUGAACCUGAACUUGGAUACUUCUAUUGUCCUGCAAAAAAUUGAGAAAAACUCCAAUGCCCGUAGUGUUGGAAAUAUGCCCUAGAGGCAAUAAUAAAUUAGUUAUUAUAUUUCCUUGUUCAUGAUAAUCGUUUAUUAUCCAUGCUAUAAUUAUAUUGAUAGGAAACUUAGAUACAUGUGUGGGUACAUAGACAACACCAUGUCCCUAGUAAGCCUCUAGUUGACUAGCUCGUUGAUCAACAGAUGGUUACGGUUUCCUGACCAUGGACAUUGGAUGUCGUUGAUAACGGGAUCACAUCAUUAGGAGAAUGAUGUGAUGGACAAGACCCAAUCCUAAGCCUAGCACAAAGAUCGUAGUUCGUAUGCUAAAGUUUUUAUGAUGUCAAGUAUCUUUUUCCUUAGACCAUGAGAUUGUGCAACUCCCGGAAACCGUAGGAAUGCUUUGGGUGUGCCAAACGUCACAAUGUAACUGGGUGGCUAUAAAGGUGCACUACGGGUAUCUCCGAAAGUGUCUGUUGGGUUGGCACGAAUCGGGACUGGGAUUUGUCACUCCGUGUAAACGGAGAGGUAUCUCUGGGCCCACUCGGUAGGACAUCAUCAUAAUGUGCACAAUGUGACCAAGGGGUUGAUCACGGGAUGAUGUGUUACAGAACGAGUAAAGAGACUUGCCGGUAACGACAUUGAACACGGUAUCAGCAUACCGACGAUCGAAUCUCGGGCAAGUACAAUACAGCUAGACAAAGGGAAUUGUAUACGGGAUCGAUUGAGUCCUUGACAUCAUGGUUCAUCCGAUGAGAUCAUCGUGGAACAUGUGGGAGCCAACAUGGGUAUCCAGAUCCCGCUGUUGGUUAUUGACCGGAGAACGUCUCGGUCAUGUCUGCAUGAUUCCCGAACCCGUAGGGUCUACACACUUAAGGUUCGAUGACGCUAGGGUUAUAAAGGAAGUUUGUAUGUGGUUACCGAAUGUUGUUCGGAGUCCCGGAUGAGAUCCCGGACGUCACGAGGAGUUCCGGAAUGGUCCGGAGGUAAAGAUUUAUAUAUGGGAAGUCCUGUUUUGGUCACCGGAAAAGUUUUGGGUUUUAUCGGUAACGUACCGGGACCACCGGCAGGGUCCCGGGGGUCCACCAAGUGGGGCCACCGGCCCCGGAGGGCUGCAUGGGCCAAGUGUGAGAGGGGACCAGCCCCAGAUAGGGAUUUUGUAGGAACAAAACGUGUAUUGCCUUGUUAUUUCUACAAAACCUGGUGCAGAGGGUAUUUGUUAAUAUGUCGGGUACGGACAGAAGCAAAGUUUUAAAUCAUGUGAGAAAUGAUUUCCCUGUGGGCAAUCGCGGGUAUCGUGGGCACUUUUCUAGUCGGGAGGGAGGAUUUAUGUAGGUUAUUGCUGAAUAUUGGGCCGUUUAAUGGGAUUCCCAAGCAUUUCACGGCGGUGGCCAUAACGUCGCGACGAGACUCCCCAGUAGCUAUAGCAGCAAUUUCGUGGAAGAUUUAAUUUCAUGGUCCAAUGUAGAAGCUAGGGUGGCGGUCAUCAUAUACGAGGUACAAUUUAUAAUUUGCAUCCUAGUAAUGUCGCAGCAACCAACCCAAAGUUUGAAACACAGUAAGAUGGUCGAUAAUCGAAUCUAGCAUCCACCAAUCAUAUGAAUUUGAAUCAUGCUCCAUGCAUGUCCUUGGACAUAAGAAAUACAUUCAACAAAUGCUUGGAUGUUCAUGUACCAAUUUUAAUUACAAUGCACGGAUGUGUGGCAUCUUCUUUCUUUUCAAGACUAAAGAUAUCUCAUUCCACAGUUUUGAUGUGUGGCAAACAUAUUCAGAGAGGAGGAACGAAACACUUGUAAUGGUGGAUCAGAUAAGAUGUGAUGUAAAAACCCGAUUGAAUGCUUAAACUGCAGCACCCCCAAUACUUGAGUGUUUGUGACUUACUAAGAUUUGCCACACUGAAAUAAAUCAAUGAAUGGAAAAUAAAGUCUUGACAUGCAUAGAAUGAUCUCUUCUUGUCACGAACUUGUACAUGAAUACAUGAAAACUGGGUAGGUGGAGUGUACUCGAUUGUCGGUGAUGAAAAAUAGCUGUCCACUUCUGUCUACAUAGAGAUUUUUGUCCUUACUUUUUUUUCUUUUUCGUGAAUAAUAUUUUAUUUCCAUUCAAAGAGAAAAAGAAUAUAUUUUUUUGCCAGGAAAGAAGAUAUAUUUUUGACUUGGAGGGGAAUUGAGAUGCUUAAAUUCACAAUUAAGUUUGCAUAUUUGUGUCAUGCAUUUUCUUUGGUAAAUAUUUUUUACUGAACUAAUGUUUCAGUCCGGCAUGACGAGGAACAGCAGAAUGAAGAGGACGUGUGUUUGGGGGGUGGACACGCACGUGACCUCGACAAUAACAACAACGAGCAGUGAAAUAAUAGUAGAAUUUAGCAAAGACAUGUAGAAAAGAAACAGUAUAGAAGCCUUUUUGCGUCUUUUACCAACUCAUCAAUGUACAAACAUCAAGAGGGCACAUAUUACACUGUAAUCACAGGAUAAGGAGAUUUAGACACUAAAAAUUAUUAUUCUCCACUCCCCGGUUUUCCGUCAAGAACUUAGUGACUUUAUGGACCGUCGGAAAUUGUAUAUCCAAAACCAGAAACAUAUAUUAGUGCUACUUGGAACGAGAAAAUAUUUGAUGGCAAGAUCCAGAAUUGGACUGCCAUUUGAAAUACACAUACAUCAAGACUUAUUUGGGGGUCAAGUACACUUUGCAGUUGAAUGGCACAGCGCAUGAAUGUAACAUGGGCCCAUUCAGAAAUAAAAAGCACCGGGACACUCUAUUUUCACUCUUAAAGACCAGAGUAAGUUUAACCCACAAAGGUAAAUACAUCCUCUGUGUGAAUGUUUCGUCUUGCACACCUGGAGCACAUUCUAAAAUAUUGAGUAUGAGAAAUGAUGGACAAAAAAUUUAUAGAUACAUAAAUAUAUAUGUAUAGCAACACAUUUGGAAUGCCAAGCAAGAUAUGUGUUUCAAGUUACUGAAAACAUAAUGCAAACAUAGAUUCAGUUUAACAAAAGUUUUCAGAUAAACUAGCAGAGCUGCAAAAGGAUAAUGUUCCCCACAAGCAUGUCUUGGUCUCAGGUGGGUAGCCACAACAAACUUUAGAGCGAUGAGGGCGGAAGGUUCAGGGCCAUGAAUCAAAGCAAUAGUUAUAUUCCUUUUCUAGCUUUAAUGUAGCCCAAUAAUUACAAGAAAUUACAUCACCAUAAAGCACCAGACCAACAAAGAAACAAACAACUUAGCAUAUUCUUAUAUGCCUAGUUAACGUUGGUCUUUAAUCACAAGAAUAAUAUAUAUUACAGCAAUCAGGUAGCACAAGCAAUCUGCAAAACAAACAAAUUAGACUUUACUGUUUGUCCCAUGUAGGCAUGGAGGUAUAGCCUGUAGUAUAGAAAUUUGUGUAGGGAUGAAAGGUGAGGUAAUAUAUGCUAUUUCUUUUGGUAAUAUGAUUGAUCUGCAUGGAGUCAAGUUGGAGCAUGAACACGCCAGUCACCGCAGACAGAAUAAUAACAUGUGUGUCCUCGUCAUACCCCGAUAUCAGUACCAUUUUGAAGUCACUAAACACUCUGUGUGGAAAGAGCUCAUCCAAUUGAAUGGUUUUCUGCAACAACACCCAACUGACAACACCAUCACAGUUUGAUUUCCUCUCCCAUAAUUGGAUGGUCAGUUCCGACAAAUAUGCAAGGCCAAGUCCACCAUCAUCCGUCCGUAAGAGUUGGACUGAUCCAUAGGAGUCGGUGUCUAUCGGCUUCUUGAUCACACUAAGUCUCUGACUCUGAAGAUCAAAUACAAGGACAUCACUUCCAAAAAGCAACCAACAAAGUGCAUUCUCAACAAGGACACUAGGCCCUAUGUCAUAAACCUCGUACGUACACUCCAUAGAGGAAAUAUCUCCCCAUAGACCAGACACCGAUUCAUAGAGGCAAGCGAAUGCUUGCGUGUGCAUGUCUUCUAGGUUCUCAGUGACCCAGAUAAAGACCAAUUUGAGCGGUCUCGAGAAGCAAUCGCCAUGCACGUGCCCAUCUUCAUUGUCAGUGCACACCACCGCAGCAUGACAGCACACCACGGUGGAGUCCUGCCCAAGCAUGAGCCCUGGUGGACAAGUCACGUGGUACUGUUGCCGGCUCAGGGGAUCCAACACCAUGAUCUCGUGUUGCGACAAGUUGACUAGGACGGCGAGGCCGUGGCGGCAGCCCAUUAUGUUCCAACGUUUGUGGUAGGGUAUGAUGCCUUUGGGCAUGGGGAGUGGCAGGGAGAAGCGGGCGGCGGGCAUGCAGUCGGGCGAGUCCAGGACAGAAGUGAAGUGGUACUCUUUGUAAAUAUUCCCAUUGAAGAAGCCGAGCAAAGGAGGUUUCCGAUGGUGCUUGCGGAAACGGCGGAGGAACACGUCAUCGGAGAGGAUGCUGCGCCAGCGCUUGCAUACGGCGGACGCGCGGGGGAGCGAGGAUGGCUGCGGAGGAGGAUCUCACGGAGAAGGUCCUCGUCUUCCAGCGGGAGGGCCGUCGUGAUCGCGACCGAGGAACAUCGCCGGCUCAUGCUUCAAUCUUGAGUGAGCUAGGGUUCCUGAAAAGUGAAAACAAAGACCGGAAGAGAAUCAUCCACACACGCGAACCAAACUGGAAUUGGGUAGCAGGAUCACCGAGAGAAGCAACAGAAUUAGGGGCGCUCACCGUUUGUCCCAGCGCAGGGCCGGAGCGCCGCCGCCGUUCGCCCCGAUGGGCUAGGGCUAGGUCGAAGGAGGCCGGGGCAGGGCUGGACGGCGGCCGUAAGGGGAGGCGUGGCGGAGAACGGGAGGAGCGCGUAGGAGGGCGGGCCGCGGGCGGAGGGCAGCCGCCGGCGCCGGGCGCAGUCGCGCGAGAGGCGCAAGGUCCGAGGGAGCGAGAGGCACGGAAGGCGUCGGGCUGGAAGACCCAAUGGCGAACGUGCGCUCUCUAGAACUAUUGUGUUUUUUCCUUUCCGGAUAGAACUCUCAAUAACUUUUUUUUAGGGGUAGAACUUUCAAUAACUUGGGAGGCGGAAUCCCCAUAAAAAAGGUGUGGUAAACUUUCGAAGAAAAAAAAUUGCGGGGAAAAACUUUCAAUAAUUGACAGAAAAAGAAACACAUAUGCAUAUUGCGGAGGUCCAGAUCCGGAUGACGUUUUUUUAGAGGAAAAGGGCUCAAGGCCCCGGUUCCAAUUGGAUUGCCAAUAGAAACCAAGCAAGGUUCAGUACGAUUGCCAAUAGAUCCGGAUGACGUCAGGCGAUACAAUGAUAGCCACUUGAUGAACCCUAUGCGUAGCGCAUUGCCGUUGGUGGUGGCGGCGUGCGAUGGAGAGAAAGAGAGGGAUGGAGAGAGAUCGAAUGGGAUUUGCCGAUAAGAAAGGCAUCACAAUCUUUUUUUCGAGGAUAUAUAAUGUGAGUUUUAUUCUUCGGUAUGUUGUGCAAUAGUUACAUUGAGCUAAUACAAGACAUGAAAUGGACUCCGGGUGCUGGUGCAGCCACUAGUACAACCAGAAUUAUCUAGGCAGUGGUAUUGUUGAGAAGUUGGUAAUGUUCUUACCACAUACUCCCUUCGUCCCAUGGUUCAUGUAAUUUCGCAGGAUGGUGAGCGGUACUUCCUCGGAACCAAGAUAGUUUUGCUUCACAAUCUCAAUCUUUCUGGUUGACUCGGCUACUGUUGCCCAUUCUACUUCUCAUGUAAAACAUUGUAACCGAGCGUUCUAUUUUGGGUGAAAUAGAUACAAUGUACCUCUGAGUUUUAGUUGUCCUAAACAUGAAUAGGCAAGGUGCACUAAUUUUGAAUGUCAAGUUGGAAAACUUCAAUUGUCCUGUGCUGUAGAAAUGAAUAGGCAAGGUGCACUAAUUUUGAAUGUCAAGUUGGAAAACACAUGUCUAUGGUUAGGAAACAUAACCAUCUUUGAUUAAUGAGCUAGUCAAGUAGAGACAUACUAGUGACUAUAUGUUUGUCUAUGUAUUCACACAUGUAUCAUGUUUCCGGUUAAUACAAUUCUAGCAUGAAUAAUAAACAUUUAUCAUGAUAUGAGGAAAUAAAUAAUAACUUUAUUAUUGCCUCUAGGGCAUAUUUCCUUCAAUUGUAUCCUUCAAAGGUUUUUCCAUUCCUAUACAUGAAACUCAGAAAAGUUUAGAUGCCCCCCUUGCAUACACAAUAAAAUGCACCGAGUGACGUGCAAAGGGGGCUAAGAUGUAGAAAUCUCCAUCUUUGCGGUCAUUAGAUGGAACCAUAAGAAGAGCAAUUUGAUACCUUGCUAAUGCGCAGAGUCUCGGGGUAGCUGUUUUGGAGCGACGGUGAGCAGAAGUGCAACAAGGUAGAUAUGAUGGUUCAUAGUCGAGGACCUUGUGCGCUUGUUCCUCGACUCAAAAGAGCUCUUCUCCACGAACACUUUGAUUUUCUUUGCUGACCUCGACAUUGUACGCACGACUGCUGUUUUUCCUCUCGUACAGUGCUGCUCUUCCUAUAGAUAUUAAUAACUUCAACUUGUAUUAACCCAAAGGGCUAAAUUAACCUAGAAGUUAUACAAUAUUUUUUUAGAUGUGAAACGACCCCUAGCCAAUGUAAAUCCCACACAAAAUCUGAAACAACCAUGGAACAAGUAUCAAACACUUGGCAUUUUGCUCUUCAAAGAACAUGACAUCCAGUUAGAUCAUCAAGAAGCCUUUCUGCAAUCAGUACACACAUUCAUAUUGCUCUCUCAGCUUUCACUGCAGUCAUACCUUGAAAGUAGGCUGGGGGUCGAUCUCAAGGCAGCUAAGUAAACACAUUUUAGCAUAGUACCUACAUCAGUUUCGGCUACGGGAGCAGCAACCCCUUAGGGCAGCUGGGCCAAGAAUCUACACAAUAGCCUAGGCGGAACUGCAGUCAGAUCUGACGGCCUAUGACGACCGAACCAAGAGAUCGAACGGCUAAAAAUGCAUGUUGCGUGAGAAGCCUCGGUUUAGGCUCGGUUUUACUGUCCUUAAUGUUGAAUAAUAAAAGACUGAAAAGAUAAAACUAGUCCUAUUUCUAUGAGUACUGGUGCUACCAAUGAGCAUGAAUAAGUGCGCGAGGCCCAAAGAUCGACCACCUCCUUGCAGUCGGCCUCCAGAACCACUUGCAGAGCUAUCUUGAGGUGAGGGUAGUUCAAAGUGGAUCAUUGGAGGGAGGGGCAUUUUGGCUCCGGGGAGCAUUUGCUCCCUCAUGAACAAUACCGCAAAAAAGGUGGUAAUUUUUUUUAAAAAAAAUUCUGCAUAUUUCUGUGGAUGUUCGUGCUAGUGUCGCAAGCAUGCUUGACGGUGAAAAAACAAAUUGGGGUGACAUUUGGUGUUUAACUUUUUUUGCACAUGCCGAAAUGUUUAACCUUUCUGCCUAAAACUUUGUAGGUAGCAUUCAGAUGGUACUACAAAUACAUAAAAAAAUAUUGUUGCUAUUUUUCCCGACAUUCAGAAAUUAUUUUUAAUGCGCAUGAGCACAUGCUCCCGGGAGCCAAAUUGAAUUUCCGAUCAUUGGCCUCAUCCAUAAAAAAUUUCUGGCUUGAUCAUUCAUGAAUAUUAUAGUGGGUGAAAUCGAAAUCCUGAAGUGCUAUCUUGAAGCCCAGUUUUUAAACCAUUUGCUCAUCAUUUACGGGCAUCAAUAUUUAUGGGUGAAGAUGCUUUCAGGAUACCAAUUUAUGGCUUCAAUAUUUAUUUAUCAGUAGGUGAAAUUUAUGGGUUUCACUCUAGUGGCAGCAAAUGUUGAAGCCCAUAGAGCCCAGCUUGGGCUGGGCCCAACAAACGAAGCCCCCAAGUCAAGAAUCAAGAAUCAAGACCGACCACAGUCCACAAGCUAGAGCAAAAGCCCGUCUCUCCUCGCUCUCGUCGUCUCGCUCGCUCCUGCUGACGACGAUCAUGCCCACCGCCGUCGCCGCCGCGGCGAGCCCCAAGCCGCGGGACACCGGACGCGGCGGACACCACCGCCGCCGCCGCCGCCGCCGCAGGGCCGGGAAGAGCAGGGCCGCGGGCGCCAAUGCGGGGGCCGGCGAGGGCUCCGAGGAGAGCGCCCGCCCCGGCCCCGACCCCCGCCCCCAGGCGAGCUCCUGCUCCGCCGCCCCGUAAUCCGCUCGGACGGCGUCUAACUCCAUGCUCUAUUGCAGGUGGAGGUGGAUUACGUGCCGGAGAAGCCCGGCCUCGGCGCCGACGACCCCCCUCCUCCUCGGCGCCUUCGCGGCCGUCUUCGAGAAAUUCGGCCUCACGGGCCCCGCCGCCGCCGCGCCCGCCGAGGUCUCCGGGCCCUCCUUUCCCCCGGCCGAGGUAUCCGCGCCUUCCUCCUCCAUUGCUGCCCAUUUCGGGGGAAUUUGGUAGGGUUUUUCGCGGGGUUUCGGCGAGGGUUUGGUGCCCGGUGACAUCAAAUGUGAUUUCCGGUUGAACUGGAAUUGGGACUGAAGCGAGCGGAAUUUUGUUGUCGCUGGUAGGGCGAGGAGAAUGAGAGGGAAGGCGAUGCGGAUGCCGCGGUGAACAAGGGGCCAGAUGCUGCUGCUGCUGCUGAGCAGGAGGCCCCAAAGAAGGAGGAGGAAGCAGCUGUCCUGUCGAAGAAGCAGAGGAAGCAGCUGCGGAGGGUGAAGAUUUCAGAGCUGAGGCAGAUGUGCAGCAGGCCUGAUGUUGUUGAGGUGCUUCCCCUCUUUCGAUCGCUCUCGUGUAACCGCAAUGUCGACGAUUCGUCGAAUGUUUACCUGUUGUGCGUACCAUGUUUGUUGACAUGCUGAUGCUGUUUGGCUAGCUGUGGUAUGUUUACAUGAAUGCGCUCUUCAUCUCACAUGUGCUUUGCUGUUUGUUUCCCUUUCCAGGUCUGGGAUGGUAAUGCCCCUGAUCCGAAGUUGCUCGUAUGUCUCAAGUCCUGCAGGAACACCGUGCCUGUUCCGAGACACUGGUGCCAGAAACGAAAGUACUUGCAGGUUUGUCAGUUUUCAAACAUCUAGUUUUGUUAGUAUGAUACCCAUGUUUUGUGAAAUUGGUUACUCGGUAAGUUGAAGUUGGUAUGCAGAAGAUAGCUGCAUUUUCUUCCAAGUCAGCCAGGGAGCAGGUGCCAUGGGGAGGCUUGGUUGCCCUGUUUUAUCCUACCAUAAAUUUGUAGUGUCCCUAAGAUUUGGUUGCUUGGCCUAAUUCCAAUAGUAGUACUAAAUUUGUAGUACCAAGGCUUUUGUUUGUGCAUAGUAGGGAAGCUCAACUCAUUGGCACGCCUGCUGGUUGUGCCUUUUUUGCUGACAUGGCUAGUGAUAGUUGGCUAUACCAACUAGUUAUUUAUUUGAGAUCCCCUUUGGCUGACAUGGCUAGAGAUAGUUGGCUGUACUAAAUAGAUAUUUAUCUGAGUAACGGGCUUCAAACAUUAUUCUUCUGAAAUGCCAAUCCAAUUUGUGACCCGUUUGGACAGCUAAUAUCUCUUGUGCUUUAAUCAGUAAACCAAGGCCUACAUUAACCAUGUUUUGAUGAGUACUAUAUGAAAUGUGGGAUCCAUGUGGCACAGCAACAACUAGAGAAGUUGUCGUUGGCUGCAGUCCAAUAAUCUCAACCUUACUGGCAUUUUGGAGACGUCUUGAUUAUGCUUUACCAAAAUUGUGGCUUUGGCUAUCUGGGGCAACAAACCAAACAUGCCCAUAAUGUCCAACAUGUUUCAUCCUUCUUAUAUGGAUUUGUAAUUCUUGCAGGGACUGUUGUAACAAUCGAGGAGGCUGGAAAUGGUGUUGUACUACUUGAAUGGUUUCUGUAGUGUAUACAGGAUAGUGUUUUUUUUCUGGUGGGGGUAUAUAGGAUAGUUGAAUCUUGUAUGCAUUCAUUUGAUGCCUCUUCUGCUGUACAGAUUAGAGUCCAACUAGAGUCCAUGGCUUUUGAUAUUCGGUGCAUUAGAAUCAGAAUCGUACUUCUUGAACUGUUAUCUUUUUCUUGAGACUACAAAAUUCUAAACUCAAUAGCAUCAAGGACUGCCAUAUUUACCUAUUUCUCUGUUCAUAUUUUUGGGUUCAUGCAUUAUGUUCCUGUCUCAGGGAAAGAGGGGUUUGCAAAAACAACCGUUCCAGCUUCCUGACUUCAUUGCUGCAACUGGAAUUGAAAAAAUAAGACAGGUAACUUACUUUCUUCGAGUUGAGGAACAUACAUGGAGUGUUUGUGUUGGUUUCAGUGAAGCUACUAUUCAGGUUUAUUGGCUGAUUGGCUGGUAAAUCCAGUGUUAUAUUUGUAAGCUAGUGUCAGUGUCUGUUCUAUCAGGGGAAAUGUUGCAUGUUGGCACAGUCCUUUGGCAAGCUAAUAAAUUUAGGAAAUUUGCCUGCACAAAAAAGGAAAGCCCAAUUGAUUUUCUAAACGUUUAUGCAGGCAUACUUUCAGAAGGAGAACAAAAAGACAUUCAAACAGAAGCAGCACAACCGUAUGCAGCCCAAGAGGGGGAAUAUGGAUAUGGAUUAUGAGGUCGACAUCUCCACCUGCAUAUCAUAGUAGUUUAGUUAUGUUGCGCAAGCUGCAAAUAUGAAGCAGUUUGUGGGUUUCGUUUCCUCUGUUUUCUUCCAUACAACCAUGAGUACAUGUAUUGCUACUGUUCGGUGCCUUCUCUAGUUUUCUUGCCGUGUUUGUAUUUGAGGCCCUCUUUUUGAUGCAAACCUAAAUCCUCCAUGAACCCAUAAGAGUUACUCCCUGAGUGCCAUUCUAUUGUUGUGGGAACUUACACAACUAAUAAGCAGAUGAGCCCAGACUCAAAGAUGAAUUAUCGUAUUGAUGCAACUUUAGUAUAUUAGAUCUGCCCAGUUGUCAGUUUGUACCAUGGUGUCAUUCAAGGCUAAUAAUGUGUUGUUCUCCACAGGUUUUGCAUGAUGCAUUCUUCAAAUAUCAAACAAAACCCACAUUGACUGGUUAUGGUGAUCUGUAUUAUGAAGGGAAAGAGUAUGAGGUACGUAAUCUUCAAUAUUUACACAGCAAAAAACAGCAGACAUCAUCCAUGAGUCCAUAUAUGGUUCUGAUGCUAAGUUCUACUUGCACAUUCGACAGCCGAAGCUUAAGGUAAUGAAACCAGGUAUGCUGUCCCAGGAGCUUAAAAAAGCUCUUGGUAUGCCUGAUGGUGCCCCGCCCCCAUGGGUUACCAGGAUGCAGGUAUGUAUUUUCUAACCUAUGUUUGUCUGGUUUUCUUACCGACAGUGCUUUCAUCAUUAGCCAGUUGACCCCGAUUCAUUUUUUGCCAGUUCUUUGGUCCUCCACCCUCUUAUCCUCAUCUGAAGAUCCCAGGUUUUAAUGCCUCAAUCUCUCCUGGAGACAGUUUGGGUGAUGGACCUGAUGAGGUACCCUAUCUGAAAAAUUUUCAUUUCACACCAUUUAAUUAUUCGUACACUUUCUUUCUAAACCUGCUAUUGUUUCUUUGCAUCAUAUCCCAGUAUAUGUAAAAGUUUUUUGGAUUCCUGCAGCAAGGCAAUUGCAAAUAAAGUUAGUUGCAGUGUAUUGUGGUUUUCGUGGGCAGAACUAACAUUUGUUUUCUGCGGUUAUCUAGGAAGAACCUCUCGAUCGCAGCAAACACUGGGGAGAUUUGGACGAAGACGAGGAUGAAGAGGAAGAAAAAGAGGAGGAACUAAUUAUUCAUGAGGAAAUAGAAGAAGGUAUUCGGUCUAUUGACACCAUCUCAAGGUAAUUCUCUGCUUCUGUUCUCUUGUUGCCAGUUAUUGUAAUCGUUAGUUACCAGUUUUUUUUAUUAGAAUUAGAUAGUGCAGUAGACACCUAGUGUCUAAUUGUCCUUGUUGCUGUAACAGUACUCCGGCUGGUGUGGAAGCACCUGAUGUUAUUGACAUUCAGAAGUUGAGGAAGGAGUCAGAUAACCAGGCAGAAAGGCCAUUAUACCAGGUAAGUAAAUUGCUGCUCUCUGUGUCCGAGAAAGCAAAGUGGCAUUAAUCAUCAUAUUUUUGAUAAUUAACCACUACUUGGCUUGGCUAUUCGUCGCUGUUAAUCAUCUAACAUGUUGUUUCUUCCCUCUGAAGGUUCUUGAACAGAAAGAAGUAAGGAUCACCCAUAGGGCGGUGUUCGCAUCGAGCCACGCAUAUGUUUCCCUGGCCAAACCUACCGAGUAAUCCUUCCCCGAGUCCCGUCUAGUUUGUUAAUCAGAGAAGUCUCACGCCGCACGUGCUCACUUUGCAGGUACGUGCUGGUUGGAGCACAAGGUACACCGUCAUCACCAGGCAGCAAUUUUGGUGAUGGACCUGGGGAGUUAGGAAAGCCUCCAACUGACGAGGUAACUUAUCUAUUUAAAAGUUCCUUUUGGCACUAUCUAAUUACUCAUACCUUUUUGAAAAAAAAAUUACUCAUAUGUUUCCUUUGGAAACCCACUAUUGUUUGUUGCCAACAGCCUAGGCAGCCAACCCAGUAUACGAAAAUGUUUUUGGAUUCAGCACGAUAAACCUUGUAAAUGAAGUUAGUAGUGAGCAGAACUAACAUUUCUUUUAUGCAAUUAUGUAGGGAGGACCUAUUGGUCGCAGCAAAAACUGGGGAGAACUGGACGAAGAAGAAGAGGAAGAGGAGGAAUUGGAAGAUGGGAAAAUAGAGAAGGGCAUUCUAGAAGAGGAAGAGGAGGAAUUGGAAGAUGGGAAAAUAGAAAAAGGCAUUCUAGAAGAGGAAGAAGAGGAUGAGGUACUGGAAGAUGGGGGAAUAGAAAAAAGCAUUCUAGAAGAGGAGGAGGAGGAGGAACUGGAAGAGGGGGGAAUAGAAGAAGGCACUCUGGAAGGGCUGGAGGAGGAGGAACUGGAAGAUGGUGAAAUAGAAGAAGCUACUCGGAAAGCAGAAGAGGCGGAGCUGGAAGAUGGGGAAAUAGUACAAGGCAUUCGGCAAGAGGAAGAAGAGGAGGAGGAACUGGAAGAUGGGGAAAUUGUAGAAGUCAUUCGGCAGGAGGAAGAGGAGGAGGAGGAACUGGAGGAGGGGGAAAUAGUAGAAGGCAUCCGGCAAGCGGGAGAGGAGGAGGCGGAGGCACUGGAAGAGGGGGAAAUAGUAGAAGGCUUUUGGUCUGGUUACACCAUCUCAAGGUAAUUAUAUGUACUUGUGUUCUUCUGUUGUCAGUUACCAUAUUAAAAUUUUCUUUUCAAUUAUAUAUUGCAGCAGACACUUGGGAUUCACUUGGCCUUUUGGUUGUGGCAGCAGUACUCCAGCUGGUGUGGAAACACCAGAUGUUAUCGACCUCCGGAAGCCAUGGAGGAAGGAGCCUGAGAAGCAGGCAGAAAUGCCAUUAUACCAGGUGAUGUAAAGUGCUCUCCGUGUCCGAGAAAGCAUAGUGCUGUUGAUCAAGUUGUUGAUAAUCAACAAAGUGCUCCCUGUGUGGGUUUGCUAGUCGUUGCUGAUAAUCGUCAGUUUGCUGUUUACUCCUAUGUAGGUUCUUGAACAGAAGGAAGAAAGAGUUGCCUUUGCCAGUGCGAUGUACUUGUCGAGCCACAGGUAUGCGCAUGCCUCCCUAACCCAACCCUUAUCAUGCAAUCAAUCCCCUCUCGAUCCCCGCUUAGCUUUUUGAAAUGAAAACCAUAAAAAGUCAGACGCCGCACGCAUGCACGCGCACUCUCGCUUUAAUCACAGGUACGUGCUGGUGGGAGCGCAAGAUAAACCGUCGACAUCAACAUCAUCAUCAUCAGGCCUAAAAAGUAAAAGGGUGAGCCCAUUAGCAGUGGAGUUCCCUCCCUCAUCGCCUGUUAUCGAACCCCAUUGCUUGCCUGACAGUCAGUAUGUACUUGCUAGUUGAGGUUCUGACGUUUUUGCCUCUUUUUUCUUUUCUUUCCUUUCCCCGUGCCGCUGUUGCUGCUGGUAAGAAGCAGAGGCUGGAGAGGGUGGACGUCACGAUCCACCCCGACCAGCUCGACGCCGUAGAAGACGCCCUGGCGGCCAAGUAAGAUCAGACCAGCGUCUCUCGCCGUCGCAAUCCUGCGGCACUAUGUGACCGUAGUGGGGUUGUGGUGGACAGGUACAGGGAGCCCCGUGUUGUUGGUACACUAAGGAUGUAGAGUUUGGUUGGUAGAAAGAUGGCGAGUAAGAUGCGGUGCAUUGCAUGUGAUGGGAUGGGAUAGGCGAUUGGUUGGCUGUCUACUCCCUACACCGACUGAUUGGUGUAGGGGUGUCCAAACUAUUCCAUUCUGAGUAUACAUCUUGAGCACGAGCCCAACUGCCCCCAACUAGCCGAGAGAGAGAGAGAGAUAUAUAUGGAGGGAAAGAGCAACGUCGACGGCUCACGGCUUGACACGAGACGAGUGGCUUGUCGGUAGCUACUGUAUGAUGGAUGAUUCAUCCCACCCAGCCCUAGUCUCCCAAUAUCAUCCUCUCUUCAUGCACACACAUCCCAUCCACCCACCCAGGUCUUGUGCUUGCCAGGAUUGCCAUGUUGAUACCUAUCCAAAAAUAAAAAAAAUGCCAAAUAGAUUAAAAUAAAAUAUAUCUAGGUAAAUGCAACCACCCAUGUGGACACGCAGUAUGCCGACAUCAUCAUCAUCAUCUUUUGGCUUGUUUUUUGUUUUCUUUCCACCAGCAGUGCCCAAAAUCAAUGCUCCAUCUGGCCUUAUUAACAAAGUUAUUAAUAAUGAAAUCAAUGCUCCAUCCUUCGCCUACUCGACUAGACAAAGGACCUCAACGGUAUAACCAUGUAGAUUUCCUACUUUUCCAUUCUCUUUUUUUGUUUAUCAAUCAAUCACCAACCAAGACAAAACCGGACACUACGUUACGACGAGGCGUGACAGCACCCGAUCCCAUUCCGACCCCAUCAGCAUUGUCAGCGGCCGUGGACCAAACCGGAUAUGCAUGGAUCGAAAGAAGGCUACCGACAUUGACCAUGACGAUAGCUCGCCUACGAACCAACCUCUAUGGUGUUUGGAGGAGCUGUGGUCAUGGGCACCACCGGUUGAAGACGAAUGUGGUUUCCUCCUCAUGCUCUACCUUCCUUCCAUGACUCAAUCUCAUAUAUGGAAUUAUGUCGAUGUAUUUUAGUUCGAGAUACACGUGGUGUCAGCCAACCAACAAGGGCUCGUCGUGCAUUAACGGGACACGUCACACGUAGCACACAAAAAAGUACUCGUCGUCGGCUCACUGCCACCUGUCCCGCACCAUCACGCGCUAAUGGAAGCCUCCCUCCCAAAUUAAUUAUGCGAGUUCGGCCACCGACCGAGCCACUGGCAGGUGGGCCCGACCCACCCACCCACCCACCCACUCUCGGGCAGUGGGAUGGGAGGCCGACCGAAAAGCGACGGGCGUGCGUACGAGGACGCCAUUUGUUUAAGGCCCAUUUCGGGAUAAUGAAAUGAAUGGGCCAUUACAUUAGCCUCCUUCUAGAACCCUCCAGAACCUUCCUCCUUCCCCAGCACCCCCACCCCGCUCCGGCGAGGAGCGCCGACGCCCUCCUCUCCUCCUCCUCCUCCGCCGCGCUCCCCGGCCUUCCCCUCCCUCGGCGGGGGCGGAGGGGCCAAGGGACGGCCGGCGGCGGCGGCGCCGGGGAUGAAGUACCCGCACCUCCCGCCGCGCCGGGCCGGCCCCUGCGGCUGCGGCUACCUGGCCGCCUUCGUCGCGCUCAUCGUCAUCACCUCGCUCCAGAUCCACCACCACCACCUCAAGGCACGGCCCCCUCCAUUUCCCCCCUCGCCCCAUCACCUUUCCCUUCCAUUUUUAGCUCCCCUGAAUGAAUCGCUCACUGACUGACACUCGAGCCCCGGCCUCUGUUCCUCCGUCAGGUGGAUCUCGGCAGGUCCGACUACGCCGCGGCCACCGCCACGCAGCAGCGGCGCAGGGAGGGGGACGGCGGCAAGGCGGCGGCCCGCUGGAACUGGAACCGGAGGACCGGCGCCGAGGGCCUGCCGCGCGGGAUCGUCCAGACCAGCUCCGACAUGUUCCUCCGUCCGCUCUGGGACCCCGCCGCCAGCCGCGCCAUCCCCAAGGUCCGCUCCUCCUCCCCCUCCUCCGGCGUCCCCCCUGUACUGUCACUGUUACUCUUUUUACAGUUGCUGUUAUUAUUAUCAAUAAAAUUGGUUGGGUCUCUUAGCUGAAACUGAACCACGCUGAACGGAUGAACGAAUGAAUGAAACUGUUCCUUAGUACGUAACAGAUACUAGCCUCUUAACGCGGCGACGGUUUCGAGCAUUUUGCGUGCCGAACCGGUUAAUUAAGUCCGCCCACGCCAUGGCUCCUGUGCUUACAGCUACCGCGACUCGUUAUCGGUCGGUUCAUUUACCUGGCUGCAAGUGAACCAUGCUAAAUGAAUGGAUCAAAGUGUCCUCUUACUCGUCUUACAGUUGCUUCCUAGAAUUGGCUGGGUCUCUUAUCUGAAACUGAACCACACCAAAUGGAUGAAUGAAACUGCCCCCUUGCCGCAAGCCUUGGGGUUGCCUCAAGGCAACGCCAAUCUGAGCUUUUAGCGUAGCAAACCGGUUAAUUGAGCUCGACUCUGCUCUGGAUCGUUUCCUUACAGUUACUGCGACUCAUUAUCAGUUGGUUUAUUUACUUACUAGCUGCAAGUGAACCAUGCUGAGUGGAUGGAUCAAACUGCCCCCUUAGAGUACUGCCUCUCACUCACCUCUGCUCCAAGUGUAGUUCAUGUACGGUGUUGCGGCUGGUUCUGUCAGUUCAGUUCACCUGUCUGUUUCGUCCCUGUCUCUGACGGUUGUUUAGCGGAGAUAUCCCCGCGUCCUAGCAUCAUAAUUCGCAAACCUCUAGGAUCCGCAAUUCUAGUUGCAAGCUCCUAGCGGGCGGGCAACCGACUCAUUGGCCCAUUCUGUUUCUAAUAUGUGCAUACUACUGCUCACCCUUGCCUGCAGAAUAAGAAUGAUAGACACAAAGCUCUCCUGGCGAUGGCGGUCGGGAUCUCGCAGAUGCAGAAUGUGGACGUAAUGGCUCGUAAGGUCCGUCUUCUUCUUCUCGAGUCCGUCUCCUUUAACGCCAACUGCUUUUCUCGUUUUGAAAGGGAAGGUUUUGUCUGUUCUGAUUCGAUGCUCGCCCUACUAUGCUUUAAUUGUUUUAUUAGUUUCUGAAUGAGAGCUACACGGUCAUGCUGUUCCAUUAUGACGGGAACGUGGAUGGGUGGCGUAGCCUCGAGUGGAGCGAUAAGGCCAUACACAUAGUUGCGCCCAACCAAACUAAAUGGUAAGCCCCAGCCGCGCAGAUACUUUGCUGUCUCUUUUACCUCGUUAUGUAUCACCCACAUUUGGAAUGAGCGUAUGUUCCUAUGCAGGUGGUUUGCCAAGCGUUUUCUGCAUCCUAGUGUUGUGGCUAUCUACGAUUUCAUCUUUUUGUGGGAUGAAGACCUUGGUGUGGAGAACUUUGAUCCGAAGAGGUAUGAGACACGCCAUAUCGUUUCAUUAUGCUGAAAUCGUCUAUUUUUAGUUCGCAAAUGUUGAUUUUUGUGAUGGCCUGAGUAGUUAUGAAACAGUCAUUUAGACAAUGGUUCAGUUUCUUUUGUUCUAGCUGUAAAAUCUUGUUUGCGAGAUAUAAUUGUUGUUCCACUUAUUUUGGGAGUAUGCAUUCAGCUUGAAACUCCUACUGGGAUGAUUUUUUUUAUUGGCAAUAUACUUGGAGGAGAUAUUGACUUGCUUUGGUUAUCGUUGCUUUUGAGAAUAUAUAUCCUGCCAUGUUGCAUUUUCUGUAGAAAAAUGCCUUUUCAUUUUUCAUGUUGCCUGUUUAGGUAUAUUGAUAUAAUGGUGUCCGAAGGCUUAGAAAUCACACAACCCGCAUUGGAUCCUGAUCUAUCAACAGAUAUUCACCACCGCAUCACAAUCCGCAACAAGAUGACAAAAGUGCAUAGGUGCUUGUGCCUUUCUAAUUCUCACACCUCAGAAUAUGAAUUCUUUUCCUAAUCAUUUUUUCUGUGCAUUUGUUGACAUAUUUAAUUCUUCAUCUCUUCUGCAGGAGAGUAUAUGACAAUCGUUCAAGCAUGAACUGUUCUGAUGAUAGUAAAGGACCUCCAUGCACAGGGUACAAAUUGAAGCUUUGGCAUUGCAUAGUAAUUUUUGUGGCUAUUCUAAAUUAUACUUUGCCAUCGUAGUUUGUUCUCUAGACCUCUUGUUUAGCAUGCCCAAUGACAAAGAGUAUUAAAUUGUGCUAUAUUUUAUUAUUCUGUGAUUGAAAAAGACAGUUACAUCACAGAGUUACGGUCAUAUUCUUUGAACCAAUUUAUGUUGUUUUAUCAGCUAUUGUAGAGCCAAAAAUCAAAAUGCUGCCUUGUUCUAUAACAUUUUUUCGUGUGAUCAGCAAAAUAAAGUUACACCAUCCAACUGAUUGAUUGUUGAGCAAAUUCUGCUGAUCUCGUUCUCAUAAACUAGCUCGAUUGAUUACUAGUACUAGUAUUGUAACUCAGCAUUCUUUGAUAGGUGGGUUGAGGGCAUGGCACCAGUUUUUUCUCGUGCUGCCUGGAAAUGCGUAUGGCAUCUAAUACAGGUACGAAUUCUGAUCAUCUAACCUACUCGAUAAUCCAUCAUAUCGUCUGAUCUACUAAGUGUGACUGGAGGGUCAUAACUCUUCAUAGCACAUCCAGUUUUAAUGUCUCGAACUUGCAGAAUGACUUGAUUCAUGGAUGGGGCCUUGACAUGAAGCUUGGUUAUUGUGCUCAGGUACUUAAGAUUGCUCAAAUCCCAUGGCGGUUUGCUUUGCUCACAUUCAAGCUUUACAACCUAUUUUACUUCCCUUUUUUUUCACAUUUCAAGUGUGCCGUGCUAUAUGUCACUUCCUUCGAUGAGCUGGAUAUUUUUAAUUAUAAAUGUGUAACUUGUUAGUAUGCUCUAGGAAUAUUACUCUGUUUUCAGUGUUUGCCACCUGUGGAUCAAAUUUAGCUAUACAUAUCCUAACAUAAGGAUCAAAUUUAUGGGCUAAAUAUUACAAUAUGGCUUUUAGUACUCUAGCUAAUAGUACUAAUGACUUAACUUGUUAGUAUGCUCUAGGAAGAUUACUCUGUUUUCAGCGUUUGGCACCUGUGGAUCAAAUUUAGCUAUUCAUAUCCUAAGAUAAGGAUCAAAUUUAUGGGCAAACAAGUACAAUAUGGCUCUUAGUCCUCUUUCUGAUAGUACUAAUGACUUCUGUCUUAUUUUGUUCCAUUAUAUUUAUUGCGGUGUGUUCUUCUGUCACUUUGCAGCUUAAUUCUUUCUGGUGUUUCAACUAUCAUCUGUCAGAUCAAGAUGAAUGCUCUAAUACACAUGAGUUUGUUGGAAAAUUCUGAUGCAUGCAGUGCUACGUGAUUUCAGGGUGAUCGAGCUGAGAAGGUCGGUGUAAUUGACAGUGAGUAUGUCGUCCAUCAAGGGAUACCAUCAUUAGGAGGACCAUCAGAUACCAGCAAGGUCUGUUUGUUGUCAUAUUUUUCGUAAAAUGCCGUAUAUACUUUUGGUGACAAUGUGAUGUGAAAUGAAAUUACAGAGAGAGAAAAUGUCUCUUGUUUCCGGAUUCAUCUCUAAGGUUACAAAAUCUAAAUUGCAACUAACGAACACACAUAUUGAAUCUUUUAAUAUGGUAAUGGGGUAUCAGUUAAGAUAUCUAACUCGAUGGCCAUCCUUCUAGCCUUGAUUGCUCUAUGCCUGCUAGAUAACUAACGCCAGUAUUAUCAUCUGAUCAACAAUUUCCUUUCUUGGUACAGUUACCUCGAAGAUCUUUGGAUUUGCGGACACACGUGAGUAUAACCUAUGUUCUCUUCCCUCUAAACCUAAAUCAAUAUGUUUCUCCUACAUAUCUUCUAACGUCAAUUGCACUCCUCUUAUUUCAACCAUCAGAUUAGAAGACAGUCGUCGGCAGAGCUGGAAAAGUUCAAAGAACGGUGGGAAAAAGCCGUAAGGGAAGAUGAGGAGUGGAUGGAUCCUUUUGACGCCUGAUUACUCUGGAAGAAACAUCUGACAUGAAGAUACAAGGCCCACCAUACAUGGGUGGAUGCGUCCACAUUCAUCAUGGCGGUUGGAGUCGAGAUCAUGUAGGCCUCAUAGCGAAAACAGUUAGUUAUAUAUAGCCUUCUAGGCAUUUUGCUGACUAACACACACCACCCCGCCCUCUAGAGCUGGAAGAACAAGUGGGAACGGCGUCGCGCUAAUACACGGAGAAACCGAGCAAGCACCUGUAUACUACCAGUGGCUGACAGACACAGUAUCUUGUAACCUUAAUUCGAUUCUCCAUUCGCCGAGGUUGUAUAGUGACAAAUGCAUAUAUGUAUGUGCAGUUAUUUUAGUAAUAAUAAGUAUUUAUAAGCGGAGAUGAUACAUUAUAAGAGGUGAUGCAUUCCAUCCAAAAGAGUAAUAGUAGUGUGCAGUUUCAAUUGUAAGCG